GGGAGGCCGGGAGGGGUCCCUGGGCGGGGAGUUGCUGCGCAUCUGUUGUGUGUGUGCGUCUGUCUGUCUGUUCAGGUCUGUUUUAGGCUGUGUCUGCCUGUCUCUCUGUCUGGGUCUCUUUCAGGCUGCGUCGGUCUGUCUGUCUGGGUCUGUUUCAGGCUGUGUCUGUCUGUCUGUCCGGGUCUGUUUCAGGCUGUGUCUGUCUGUCUGUCCGGGUCUGUUUCAGGCUGUGUCUGUCUGUCUGUCCGGGUCUGUUUCAGGCUGUGUCUGUCUGUCUGUCUGGGUCUGUUUCAGGCUGUGUCUGUCUGUCUGUUUGUCUGGGUCUGUUUCAGGCUGUGUCUGUCUGUCCGGGUCUGUUUCAGGCUGUAUGUGUGUCUGCUCUUUGCUUCUGCUCCUGGCUCUGUGUGUAUUUCCCGGGUCCUGUG
RNAcentral lists this long non-coding RNA (425 nucleotides) under Homo sapiens (human). Its description in RNAcentral is "HSALNT0395742". The record is from RNAcentral. Lineage: Eukaryota; Metazoa; Chordata; Mammalia; Primates; Hominidae.